This 41-nucleotide non-coding RNA is filed under the name Trypanosoma brucei brucei. The record is from RNAcentral. Lineage: Eukaryota; Euglenozoa; Kinetoplastea; Trypanosomatida; Trypanosomatidae.
AAAACAUCAACAGUGAGAAGUGGGAAGAUAGUAAGUUAUAU